This 476-nucleotide ribosomal RNA is filed under the name uncultured bacterium. RNAcentral's name for it is "bacterial SSU rRNA". It matches the Rfam family "Bacterial small subunit ribosomal RNA", at positions 9 to 529 of the family's 1533-position model. The record is from RNAcentral.
GAGUUUGAUCAUGGCUCAGAGCGAACGCUGGCGGCAGGCCUAACACAUGCAAGUCGAGCGGCCGUAGCAAUACGGCAGCGGCAGACGGGAGAGUAACACGUGGGAACGCGCCCUUCGGUUCGGAAUAACUCAGGGAAACUUGGGCUAAUACCGGAUACGCCCUUACGGGGAAAGAUUUAUUGCCGAAGGAACGGCCCGCGUCCGAUUAGCUUGUUGGUGAGGUAACGGCUCACCAAGGCGACGAUCGGUAGCUGGUCUGAGAGGAUGACCAGCCUCACUGGGACUGAGACACGGCCCAGACUCCUACGGGAGGCAGCAGUGGGGAAUAUUGGACAAUGGGCGCAAGCCUGAUCCAGCCAUGCCGCGUGGGUGAUGAAGGCCCUAGGGUUGUAAAGCUCUUUUGUGCGGGAAGAUAAUGACGGUACCGCAAGAAUAAGCCCCGGCUAACUUCGUGCCAGCAGCCGCGGUAAUGCCCA